GUUAAAACUCUUAAAACCAUAGACAUAGAGCAUAGAGCUCUGAUACUCCAUGGUUAAAACUAAAAUGAUUCUUUCGAAUUUUGUGACAUUUCAUCCGCUUUCUUUGUACGCUUCCUUUUCUAAGCAUUUAUAGGUAUAACCUAUAUAUAUCGUUGACGGAGCAAACUCUGUCUAGUGUCUACGAUAUAUCGCUCAUCCAGAACGACAGUGUCAUAAUUACAUUUUUGUAACUUUACAGUAUGAGUAUUUGAAAGUUUGGGACUAAAAAUUUAGGGAAGUUCUUCAUAUUAUCGAAUUAUGUUUUACAUACUUGUCCAGGUUAGUUAAUAAGUGUUUCCGAAUGGUUGUUCAAUAGAGCUUGCCCCCGCAAGGUCUGGAAAGAUGUCUGAGAUGACUAUCUUCAAUGGUAUGGGACUGGUCAGAGAUUUGUUUUAGCAUUUCAUACCAAAUUCAAAUCAAGAAUCCGGAAGCGAACC
Molecule: long non-coding RNA, 476 nt
Organism: Melitaea cinxia (Glanville fritillary)
Lineage: Eukaryota; Metazoa; Arthropoda; Insecta; Lepidoptera; Nymphalidae
Exons: 2
Source: RefSeq, a predicted model, not a curated record